ACGAAACCGGAGGAAGGUGGGGAUGACGUCAAGUCAUCAUGGCCUUACGGCCUGGGCUACACACGUGCUACAAUGGUCGGUACAAAGGGUUGCCAAGCCGCGAGGUGGAGCCAAUCCUCAAAGUUGGCCUCAGUUCAGAUUGUAGGCUGCAACUCGCCUGCAUGAAGAUGGAGUUGCUAGUAACGCAGGUCAGCUAUACUGCGUUGAAUACGUUCCCGGGGCCUU
Molecule: ribosomal RNA, 225 nt
Filed under: uncultured Levilinea sp.
Lineage: Bacteria; Bacillati; Chloroflexota; Anaerolineae; Anaerolineales; Anaerolineaceae
Description: partial 16S ribosomal RNA
Rfam family: Bacterial small subunit ribosomal RNA
Source: RNAcentral